Molecule: RNA transcript, 1092 nt
Organism: Drosophila subobscura
Lineage: Eukaryota; Metazoa; Arthropoda; Insecta; Diptera; Drosophilidae
Gene: Mis12
Exons: 4
Source: RefSeq, a predicted model, not a curated record
GUUUGUGGCUGUCGUCACAAUAUUUCGAACUUGCGCGAAUGCCUUUAAAAAAAUUAAAGUUUACAAUGGAUUUCCACGAUAGCACCUAUGAUACAAAGUUCUUUGGCUUUACUGCUGAGCAGAUAACAGCUAUACGCGAGCAUGAGGUGAAGAUUAUGAUUGGCCAGGCUGUCGAAAACACCAUUGAAAAGAUAGAAACGCCGGCCACUUCGAAACUGCUGGACGCCCAAAAGGACGAAGUGAUACGUCGCAUGGAGGAUUCCACCAUUAAGAACAUGACACCCCUACGGGAGCUGGACAAAAAGUACUUUCGCAUUCCGCCACAUGUGCUGCAGGUGCCGGACUUUCACUUGGAGCAACAAUACACUCCUCUAGAUGAGGAGAAAAAGAACGCGCAGCUGAAGGAGCUAGAGCUGCGCUUUCGCGAGAACCUAAUCACGCUGGCCAAGUUAGAGGCGGAGGCCAACCACUAUGAAUCGGUGGCCAAUAUUGUGCAGCAGGAGACGAUUGAGCACAAGAAGAUCUAUGCAAAUGUUCCCUCUAUAAAUGGCUACAAGCUGACUUAAUUUGCCAAUCGCGUGGCCACCAUUCCGAGCGAUUGAACUGACUCUGAUAUUUUCUGAAUAUAAAUUGUAUAUAUGAAUUGUAAAUAACAAUAAUAGGAUUAGAAAUAGACCGGCGAGUAGUGUGACCAUGUGCUUCAAUUGAGGUUUUUUCUAGUAGUUUAUGCUGAAAAAUACUUUUCGUAUAGGGUAUUUUAUUCGCUUUGUGCCUGUCGUCACACCAUGUCGAAUUUGCGCGAAUGUCUUUGAAAAAAUUAAUUCUUUUUCAUUUGUUUCUCAAAUUAUUAUUGAAUCCCAAGCCAAACUUAUUAAAAUGCGUUUCCGCGAUAGCAUCUACGAUCUAAAGUUCUUCAACUACACUGCUGAGCAGAUAUCGGCUGAACGCGAGCGUCUGGUGCAGAACAUGAUUGGCAAGGCUAUUGAAAAUGCCAUUCAAAAGAUAGAAACGCCGGCCACCUCGAUACAGCUGGGCGCCCAAAAGGACGAAGUGAUACGCCGCGUGGAGGAGUCGGCCCUGAAGAACAUGAAA